UCCUAAAAAAGAUCUAAAAACACAAAGAUUUGAUCCUAGUCUUAUCAUCAACUUUUCCUAAGCUUACACAUGCAAGUCUCAGCACACCCGUGAGGAUGCCCUUUCAACUACACCAGAAUAAGGAGCUGGUAUCAGGCACUAAAACUUGCCCACUACACCUAGUCCCACCACGCCCUCAAGGGCCUUCAGCAGUGAUAAAUAUUGCCCAUAAGCGACAGCUUGACUCAGCCAUAGGAAAGAGAACUGGCCAACUCGGUGCCAGCCGCCGCGGCUAAACCGCACGAGUUCAAGUUGAUAAAUAUCGGCGUUAAGCGUGAUUAAAGGCUCUUUAAAUUAGAAUAAAAUCCACCCUUAGCCGUAAAAAGCUUGCUGUGGAGAAACCCGAAAACGAAAGUUAUUCUAAUCAGCUUGAACCCACGACAGUCGGGACACAAACUGGGAUUAGAUACCCCACUAUGCCCCACCGUAAAAUUCCAACUCACAUCACCAACGCCCGGGUACUACGAGCCCAGCUUAAAACCCAAAGGACUUGACGGUGUCCCAUCCAACUAGAGGAGCCUGUUCUAUAAUCGAUAGUCCCCGAUUUACCCAACCCCAUUUUGCUACUCAGCCUGUAUACCUCCGUCGCAAGCUUACCAUAUGAAUGUCUAAAGUAAGUACAAAGAUCUCAACAUCAACACGUCAGGUCAAGGUGCAGCUAAUAAUAGGGAAGCAAUGGGCUACAAUUUCUAGCAUAGAACACACGAAUUACUGCAUGAAACACAGUCAUGAAGGUGGAUUUAGUAGUAAAAAGAAAAUAAUAUGUUUUUUUUAAUAAGGCCCUGGGACGUGUACACACCGCCCGUCACCCUCUUCAAUAGUCCUAAAAUGUUUAUAACAUCUCUUACACCUCAGAAGAGGCAAGUCGUAACAUGGUAAGUAUACCGGAAGGUGUACUUGGAUUACAAAAUAUAGCUUAACUAAAGCCCCUUGCUUACACCAAGGGAAUAUCCGUGAAAAUCAGAUUAUUUUGAGCCUACAAUUCAGCCUACUUUAAACUCAUGUACACUACACCCAUUAACACUUUUAAUAAAACAUUUUAUUAGUCAAGUACAGGCGAUCAAAAAACUUAUUAGCGCUUUAUCAUUAGUACCGCAAGGGAAAAAUGAAAUAGCUAUGAAAUAGCCUUCAAGCACAACACAGCAGAGCUUACCUCUCGUACCUUUUGCAUCAUGAUUUAGCCAGUCUACAUCAAGCAAAACGAAAAUCCAGUUUGACUUCCCGAAACUAGACGAGCUACUUUUAAACAGCUUUAUAGAGCCAACCCAUCUCUGUUGCAAAAGAGCGGGAUGAUUUUUAAGUAGAGGUGAAAAGCCUAUCGAGUCUAGAGAUAGCUGGUUACUUAAGAAAAGAAUUUUAGUUCAACUUCAAGUCUAUUAAUUUUAUUGACAAAUACUAAAAACUUGAAAGCUAUUCAAAUAAGGCACAGCUUAUUUGAUUUAGGAUACAGCCUACAAAAAAGGGUAAAAAACUUACACACGAACCAAGUGGGCCUAAAAGCAGCCACCUUUUAAAAAGCGUUUAAGCUUCAUUCUUAAAUAUACCUAAUCCCUAAAAACACCUUUAACCCUUUACCACUAUUAAGUAAUUUUAUACUAAUAUAAAAGCCUUCAUGCUAAAACUAGUAACAAGAAAUUGACUUUCUCCUAAAUAUAAACAUAAACCAAAAUGGACCAACCACUGGUAUUUAACGUUUAUUAACCCACUAUAAUAACACACCAAGAAAACCUUAUAGACAAACACGUUAACCUAACACAAGAAUAUUUCAGGAAAGAUUUUAAAAAAAGGAAGGAACUCGGCAAACUUCAACCCCGCCUGUUUACCAAAAACAUCGCCUCUUGAUUAAAUAUAAGAGGUCCAGCCUGCCCAAUGAUUCUUUCAAUGGCCGCGGUACCCUGACCGUGCAAAGGUAGCAUAAUCAUUUGUUCUCUAAAUAAGGACUUGUAUCAACGGCAUCACGAGGGUUACACUGUCUCCCUUUUUUAAUCAAUGAAACUGACCUCCCCGUGAAGAGGCGGGGAUUUUACUACAAGACGAGAAGACCCCAUGGAGCUUUAAACCCAAUUAUAAUCUUUACCCUUCAUAACCCACAAAACUAUAAAGACCUUAUUUAUUGGUUUUAGGUUGGGGUGACCACGGAGUAAAACAAAACCUCCUUGACGAACAGGUCUUAACCUAAUCCAAGAGUUACCACUCUAAGAAUCAAAAAUUUGACGUAAAAUGAUCCGGCAACCGAUCAACGAACCAAGUUACCCUGGGGAUAACAGCGCAAUCCAUUUCAAGAGCCCCCAAUGACAAAUGGGUUUACGACCUCGAUGUUGGAUCAGGGUACCCCAGUGGUGCAGCCGCUACUAAAGGUUUGUUUGUUCAACAAUU
This 2415-nucleotide non-coding RNA is filed under the name Limnonectes paramacrodon (lesser swamp frog). RNAcentral's name for it is "partial contains tRNA-Phe, 12S ribosomal RNA, tRNA-Val, and 16S ribosomal RNA". The stretch from base 18 to 952 matches the Rfam family "Bacterial small subunit ribosomal RNA". Lineage: Eukaryota; Metazoa; Chordata; Amphibia; Anura; Dicroglossidae. The record is from RNAcentral.